Molecule: microRNA precursor, 100 nt
Filed under: Marmota monax (woodchuck)
Lineage: Eukaryota; Metazoa; Chordata; Mammalia; Rodentia; Sciuridae
Source: RNAcentral
AUUAUCAUUGCUGGAUUAUAUGGUAAGUGUAUAUUUAAUUUUAUAAGAAACUGCUAAACUGUCUUCCAGAGUGGCUGUACCAUUUUGCCUUCCCAGCAUU